GUCCUUUAGAUAUUAAUUUAAGGUCUAACCUGCCCACUGAAUUAUUUUUAAAUGGCCGCAGUAAUUUGACUGUGCAAAGGUAGCAUAAUCAUUAGUUUUUUAAUUAAAAGCUUGUAUGAAAGGUUGGACGAAGUAAAAUCUGUCUCUAAUUAAAUUAAUUUAGAAUUUAACUUUUAAGUUAAAAGGCUUAAAUUUAACUAAAAGACGAGAAGACCCUAUAGAUCUUUAUAUCUUAAUUAUUAGAUUUAAUUAUGAAUUUUUUAAAUUUUAUUAAUAAAGUUAUUUUAUUGGGGUAAUAUAAAGAUUAAAAUAAUUCUUUUUUUUUAUUUACAUUAAUUUAUGAGUUUUAUGAUCCAAUUUUAUUGAUUAAAAGAUUAAGUUACCUUAGGGAUAACAGCGUAAUUUUUUUAGAGAGUUCUUAUCGAUAAAAAAGUUUGCGACCUCGAUGUUGGAUUAAAGAUUAUUUUAGGUGCAGAAGUUUAAAAAUUUUGGUCUGUUCGACCAUUAAAUCUUUACAUGAUCUGAGUUCAGACCGGUGUAAGCCAGGUCGGUUUCUAUCUUUAGUAAAUUAAAAUAUUUUAGUACGAAAGGACCAAUUAUUUGAUAUAUUAAUAUUUAUAAUUUUUGUUUAUUAUUAAA
RNAcentral lists this ribosomal RNA (639 nucleotides) under Nebria baenningeri korgonica. Its description in RNAcentral is "partial large subunit ribosomal RNA". The stretch from base 390 to 549 matches the Rfam family "Bacterial large subunit ribosomal RNA", at positions 2473 to 2632 of the family's 2925-position model. The record is from RNAcentral. Lineage: Eukaryota; Metazoa; Arthropoda; Insecta; Coleoptera; Carabidae.